This 87-nucleotide transfer RNA is filed under the name Candidatus Kaiserbacteria bacterium. RNAcentral's name for it is "tRNA-Ser". It matches the Rfam family "tRNA". Rfam says of the family: Transfer RNA (tRNA) molecules are approximately 80 nucleotides in length. Their secondary structure includes four short double-helical elements and three loops (D, anti-codon, and T loops). The record is from RNAcentral. Lineage: Bacteria; Candidatus Kaiseribacteriota.
GGAGAGAUGGCUGAGUGGUCGAAAGCGUAUCCCUGCUAAGGAUAUAGGGGGGAAACUCCCUCGAGGGUUCGAAUCCCUCUCUCUCCG